This 403-nucleotide ribosomal RNA is filed under the name uncultured bacterium. RNAcentral describes it as "partial 16S ribosomal RNA". It matches the Rfam family "Bacterial small subunit ribosomal RNA", at positions 28 to 526 of the family's 1533-position model. The record is from RNAcentral.
GAUGAACGCUGGCGGAGUGCUUAACACAUGCAAGUCGAGCGAGCGGCGGACGGGUGAGUAAUGUAUGGGGACUGAACGGUAGAGGGGGAUAACUACUGGAAACGGUGGCUAAUACCCCAUACUGUAGGAUAACCCAUAUGGGAUUAGCUAGUAGUUAAGGUAAUGGCUUACCUAGGCGCCGAUCCCUAGCUGGUCUGAGAGGAUGAUCAGCCACACUGGGACUGAGACACUGCCCAGGCUCCUACGGAGGCAGCAGUGGGGAAUAUUGCCCAAUGGGCGCAAGCCUGAUGCAGCCAUGCCGCGUGUAUGAAGAAGGCCCUAGGGUUGUAAAGUACUUUCAGUCGGGAGGCGUUACCGACAGAAGAAGCACCGGCUAACUCCGUGCCAGCAGCCGCGGUAAUAC